UCUCUGGUGGUCCAGUGGCUAAGACUCUGCCAUCCCAAAGCAGGAGGCCUGGGUUCCAUCCCUGGUCAGGGAA
RNAcentral lists this transfer RNA (73 nucleotides) under Ovis aries (sheep). It matches the Rfam family "tRNA". From Rfam's summary of the family: Transfer RNA (tRNA) molecules are approximately 80 nucleotides in length. Their secondary structure includes four short double-helical elements and three loops (D, anti-codon, and T loops). Lineage: Eukaryota; Metazoa; Chordata; Mammalia; Artiodactyla; Bovidae. The record is from Rfam by way of RNAcentral.